GUUACUGCUAUCGGAGUUCGAUUAAGCCAUGCGAGUCUAAAGGUUUCUUUCGAGAAACCUUGGCGGACUGCUCAGUAACACGUGGAUAACCUACCCUUGGGACUGGGAUAACCCCGGGAAACUGGGGAUAAUACCGGAUAGAUCAAGGAUGCUGGAAUGCACCUUGAUCCAAAGCUCCGGCGCCCAAGGAUGGGUCUGCGACCUAUCAGGUAGUAGUGGGUGUAACGUACCUACUAGCCAACGACGGGUACGGGUUGUGAGAGCAAGAGCCCGGAGAUGGAUUCUGAGACACGAAUCCAGGCCCUGCGGGGUGCAGCAGGCGCGAAACCUUUACAAUGUGCGAAAGCAUGAUAAGGGAACUCCGAGUGCCAGUAUCUAAUACUGGCUGUCCUUGUGCCUAAAACGCACAAGAUAGCAAGGGCCGGGUAAGACCGGUGCCAGCCGCCGCGGUAACACCGGCGGCCCGAGUGGUAGCCGCUAUUAUUGGGUCUAAAGGGUCCGUAGCCGGUUCGAUAAGUCCUCUGGGAAAUCUGGUUGCUUAACAAUCAGACUGCCAAGGGAUACUGUCGAACUUGAGACCGGGAGAGGUAAGAGGUACUUCAGGGGUAGGAGUGAAAUCUUGUAAUCCCUGGGGGACCAUCUGUGGCGAAGGCGUCUUACCAGAACGGGUCUGACGGUGAGGGACGAAAGCUGGGGGCGCAAACCGGAUUAGAUACCCGGGUAGUCCCAGCCGUAAACGAUGCUCGCUAUGUGUCAGGUACGGUGUGACCGUAUCUGGUGCCG
RNAcentral lists this ribosomal RNA (783 nucleotides) under uncultured archaeon. Its description in RNAcentral is "bacterial SSU rRNA". It matches the Rfam family "Archaeal small subunit ribosomal RNA", at positions 23 to 803 of the family's 1478-position model. The record is from RNAcentral.